UUUAAUGGAGAGUUUGAUCCUGGCUCAGGACGAACGCUGGCGGCGUGCCUAAUACAUGCAAGUCGAGCGGAGCUCUCGCGGCGGAAGCCUUCGGGUGGAAGCUGCGAAAGCUUAGCGGCGGACGGGUGAGUAACACGUGGGCAACCUGCCCGAAAGACCGGGAUAACAUCCGGAAACGGAUGCUAAUACCGGAUAAGCGGAC
This 202-nucleotide ribosomal RNA is filed under the name Paenibacillaceae bacterium. RNAcentral's name for it is "partial 16S ribosomal RNA". It matches the Rfam family "Bacterial small subunit ribosomal RNA", at positions 1 to 182 of the family's 1533-position model. Lineage: Bacteria; Bacillati; Bacillota; Bacilli; Caryophanales; Paenibacillaceae. The record is from RNAcentral.